Molecule: unclassified non-coding RNA, 180 nt
Filed under: uncultured Rhizobiaceae bacterium
Lineage: Bacteria; Pseudomonadati; Pseudomonadota; Alphaproteobacteria; Hyphomicrobiales; Rhizobiaceae
Description: partial 16S-23S ribosomal RNA intergenic spacer
Source: RNAcentral
CGCAAUACACCACGGAAUUAACUUCAGGUAAUCGGAUGGUAUGGCGAGCUUUCGCCGUCCACGUUUCUCUUUCUUCAUGAAGACANAANAAANCCGCGCUUGUUCAGUUGAUGCUGGAACCGGUUGCCCGAAUGGGCCCGUAGCUCAGUUGGUUAGAGCACACGCAUGAUAAGGUCGUGG